AGAGUUUGAUCCUGGCUCAGGGUGAACGCUGGCGGUGUGUCUAAUACAUGCAAGUCGAGCGCCCAGCAAUGGGAGCGGCGAACGGGUGAGUAAUACGUUGGAACCUGCCCCGAACUCAGGGAUAACUCGCAGAAAUGCGAGCUAAUACCGGAUAGUCCCGCAAGGGUAAAGAUUUUUCGGUUCGGGAGGGGCCUGCGUCCUAUCAGCUAGUUGGUAAGGUAAUGGCUUACCAAGGCAUUGACGGGUAGCUGGUCUGAGAGGAUGGUCAGCCACAAUGGAACUGAGAGAAGGUCCAUACUCCUACGGGAGGCAGCAGUAAGGAAUAUUUCGCAAUGGGGGAAACCCUGACGAAGCGACACCGCGUGAUCGAUGAAGGCCGAAAGGUUGUAAAGAUCUUUUC
This 400-nucleotide ribosomal RNA is filed under the name uncultured bacterium. RNAcentral's name for it is "bacterial SSU rRNA". It matches the Rfam family "Bacterial small subunit ribosomal RNA", at positions 8 to 438 of the family's 1533-position model. The record is from RNAcentral.